UAGGGAAUCUUCCGCAAUGGGCGAAAGCCUGACGGAGCAACGCCGCGUGAGUGAUGAAGGUCUUCGGAUCGUAAAACUCUGUUAUUAGGGAAGAACAAAUGUGAAAGUAACUAUGCACGUCUUGACGGUACCUAAUCAGAAAGCCACGGCUAACUACGUGCCAGCAGCCGCGGUAAUACGUAGGUGGCAAGCGUUAUCCGGAAUUAUUGGGCGUAAAGCGCGCGUAGGCGGUUUUUUAAGUCUGAUGUGAAAGCCCACGGCUCAACCGUGGAGGGUCAUUGGAAACUGGAAAACUUGAGUGCAGAAGAGGAAAGGGGAAUUCCAUGUGUAGCGGUGAAAUGCGCAGAGAUAUGGAGGAACACCAGUGGCGAAGGCGACUUUCUGGUCUGUAACUGACGCUGGUGUGCGAAAGCGUGGGGAUCAAACAGG
This 429-nucleotide ribosomal RNA is filed under the name Actinomycetes bacterium. RNAcentral describes it as "Actinobacteria bacterium partial 16S ribosomal RNA". It matches the Rfam family "Bacterial small subunit ribosomal RNA", at positions 355 to 776 of the family's 1533-position model. The record is from RNAcentral. Lineage: Bacteria; Bacillati; Actinomycetota; Actinomycetes.